CCUACGGGUGGCAGCAGUGAGGAAUAUUUGUCAAUGGGCGCGAGCCUGAACCAGCCAAGUCGCGUGAAGGAUGACUGCCCUACGGGUUGUAAACUUCUUUUAUAAAGGAAUAAAGUGAGGCACGUGUGCCUUUUUGUAUGUACUUUAUGAAUAAGCAUCGGCUAACUCCGUGCCAGCAGCCGCUGUAAGACGGAGGAUCCGAGCGUUAUCCGGAUUUAUUGGGUUUAAAGGGAGCGUAGAUGGGUUGUUAAGUCAGUUGUGAAAGGUUGCGGCUCAACCGUAAAAUUGCAAUUGAUACUGGCAGUCGUGAGUACAGUUGAGGUAGGCGGAAUUCGUGGUGUAGCGGUGAAAUGCUUAGAUAUCACGAAGAACACCGAUUGCGAAGGCAGCUUACUAAACUGCCACUGACAUUGAUGCUCGAAAGUGUGGGUAUCAAACAGGAUUAGAUACCCUGGUAGUC
RNAcentral lists this ribosomal RNA (460 nucleotides) under uncultured bacterium. RNAcentral describes it as "partial 16S ribosomal RNA". It matches the Rfam family "Bacterial small subunit ribosomal RNA", at positions 338 to 795 of the family's 1533-position model. The record is from RNAcentral.